GACGGAGGAGGCUAGCGUUGUUCGGAAUUACUGGGCGUAAAGCGUGCGCAGGUUGUGAGUUAAGUCUGAUGUGAAAGCCCGGGGCUCAACCUCGGAUGUGCAUUAGAUACUGGCUCGCUGGAGGUUGGAAGAGGAGAGUGGAAUUCCCAGUGUAGAGGUGAAAUUCGUAGAUAUUGGGAAGAACACCAGUGGCGAAGGCGGCUCUCUGGUCCACACCUGACACUCAUGCACGAAAGCGUGGGGAGCAAACAGGAUUAGAUACCCUGGUAGUCCACGCCGUAAACGAUGUGUGCUAGACGUCGGAAGGCUUGCCUUUCGGUGUCGCAGCUAACGCGAUAAGCACACCGCCUGGGGAGUACGGCCGCAAGGUUAAA
Molecule: ribosomal RNA, 374 nt
Filed under: uncultured bacterium
Lineage: Bacteria
Description: bacterial SSU rRNA
Rfam family: Bacterial small subunit ribosomal RNA
Source: RNAcentral